CUGGAGUCAAAGGGUGAGCUGUCAUGUAGGUGCUGGGAACCAAACCCAGGUCCUCUGGAAGAGCAGUCACUCUACCAGACCCCAAAGAGCCAGAGGAAGGGUGUUUCUGAGCCCCGCUCUUCCUUGACAACCUUUUGCCUGAAGAUAAAGAGGGUUUUAGGCCCCCACCCCAGAUGGUCCCAACCUCGAGACACAAAGCCAGAACCGCAGCAACCCUCUUAUCAUGGAGCUUUGGUGCUGUCUCCUGAAGCAGGAGUCAAGAUGAGGGAGGCUAGAACAUUUAAGUCUGGUAAGUGUCUUGCUCUGUGUCUAUCCAGGUCCACUGCAAAGAUUUCUCAAGAUACAAGAGCUGAUGGUUGAGGACCAUUCUUGGGAAUACACCUCUCCACUCCGCCCACCUAUCUCCUCUAUGGCAAGUGGGUUAAGUUGAUGGCAUCCAUAGAAAAAAAAGGAAGAAAAACCAGGAGGGA
RNAcentral lists this long non-coding RNA (470 nucleotides) under Cricetulus griseus (Chinese hamster). RNAcentral's name for it is "lncRNA (ENSCGRG00015034581.1)". The record is from RNAcentral. Lineage: Eukaryota; Metazoa; Chordata; Mammalia; Rodentia; Cricetidae.